UAACCCACUUGGUUCAACAAUUUCAAUUUCAAAGGUACGUAGCUAAUAUAUUUAUAUUUUUUGGGCCGGCUAAUGUUGUGGUAAUGUUAUUUCAACCUGCUAGCUAGCAGAUAGAUUAUGCUAAUCUUAGCUGUGGUAAUGUCAUUUCAACCUGCUAGCGAGCUAAAUCUGGUUAAAACAUUAGGUAACAAAGUAAGAUUAAUUACUGCAGAUUAAUCACUGUAUUUGAGUGAUUGUUAAUGGUUAGUGGUUAUCUUUCAAAUGAUGCCUGUGAGGCACUUGACGUUGAGACUGGUUGACUUCCAGGCUGCUUUGGAAUAAGGAUACCUCUGAGGCAGCCACCAGUUUUUGGAUAACUCUGAGGCAUCAUAGGUAGUGUUGACUGCCAGGCUGCCUAGUCGUUGGUAUACAGGUUAACUCACAGGCAUCCAGUUGGUUUUAGAUACCUGUAAAGGCAUCUAGAUGGACAUUAAGAGGGGCUGACUCCCAGGCUGCUUACUAACACUGGUUAGCUCUCAGGCAGCCAAUUGGCUUUGGAUGCCUGUGAGGCACUUGACAAAAACAACUUUAAAGAGAGGGGUUCUAAAUAGACUGGCUGGUUGAAUAAAGCACAUUUUAACACAUUCAAUUAAUGAAAAACAAGUAGAUAUGUUAGGGAUGAUAGACAACAUGUUAUAGAAUAAUAAUUGAAUCAAAACCCAAUUUCACCAAAAUACUGAGUUUCGACCUACUAGUAUUUUCACUCUAAUCUCAAAAAUGUCCCUUUUCACCAUGUGACUGGUUUCGGCAGAGCCCAUCACAGUUUUGGGUUAUAGGAACAUCUGUUGGGAUGGCAGUAAAGACAGAAGGGCUAUGUACAGACAUUACAUGUGUACAAUACUGUACUGUAUGUAAAGAAGAUGAAAUCCUAAUAUUGUUACGAAUAAUAUUGUUGAAACAUUGAAACCUUCUUUGAGUGUGACUCAGAAAUUAUUUUUACAAAGAUACCAGAUAACGGUGGAGGAGAUCAGGAGGAGGACUGCUCCACCUGAGAGCAUGUCAAUAAAUACCCUCACUGCGCUCCUGAGAACCGACAAAAAUUUGAAGAGGGACCUCAGGGAGCAGCUGCAGGAGGUCGGGGUGACUCCGGGCACAGUGACCAAAGUCACCUCACUGUGCUCAAAGCUGUCAGAGGGUACAGUUCAAUUCUACUCACUAUUCUUGUAACGGCACUUUUUACAUACAUUUAUAUCAAUAAAGAACUUCAGAAAGCCAGCUCCAAACUAUUACACCCGUGUCAAUAAGUGUUUCAUUGUCACAUUGGUAUGUGCAUCAAAUCUGAAUUUAAUACUGUGUUCGUGUCAUGAUAUGUCUUUCCCAUUUUUGUUAAGGCGAAGUCAAGGACCUGUGCUCCUCUGUCGGUGCUCUGGCUGCCAGGAGCAUCGAAUUUAAAGAAGUGGCCAUGCUGCCGGCAUCAGACCCCACUGUGGCCACAGGGAGAGCCACGGAGUUCAAACAACAGCUCCAGCACCUCGCCAACCAGGUGAGGUCAAAUGAUCAAUUUGACCUCCUCACGCACACCUUGGGGCCAGGAAUGGUAGAGGUGGUGGUGGAUAUUUUUAAAAAGUGUGUUGACACACACAUUGAAAAUAUUAACAAUUUGUUGUUUGUUGUGUUCAUUAAUUAAAUAUCUUCAUGUUCUACA
Molecule: long non-coding RNA, 1684 nt
Organism: Pseudoliparis swirei
Lineage: Eukaryota; Metazoa; Chordata; Actinopteri; Perciformes; Liparidae
Exons: 2
Source: RefSeq, a predicted model, not a curated record